GCCGCCUUAGCUCAGCUGGUAGAGCGUUUCCAUGGUAAGGAAGAGGUCGUCGGUUCAAGCCCGACAGGUGGCUC
Molecule: transfer RNA, 74 nt
Filed under: Enterococcus faecium
Lineage: Bacteria; Bacillati; Bacillota; Bacilli; Lactobacillales; Enterococcaceae
Also listed under: 2 other names
Description: tRNA-Thr
Rfam family: tRNA
About the family: Transfer RNA (tRNA) molecules are approximately 80 nucleotides in length. Their secondary structure includes four short double-helical elements and three loops (D, anti-codon, and T loops).
Source: RNAcentral